AACCAACAGGGAUUGCCCUAGUAACGGCGAGUGAAGCGGCAACAGCUCAAAUUUGAAAUCUGGCCCUCGCGGUCCGAGUUGUAAUUUGUAGAGGAUGCUUUGGGCGCGGCGCCUUCCAAGUUCCCUAGAACGGGACGCCUUAGAGGGUGAGAGCCCCGUACGGUUGGACGCCUAGCCUAUGUAUAGCUCCUUCGACGAGUCGAGUAGUUUGGGAAUGCUGCUCUAAAUGGGAGGUAAAUUUCUUCUAAAGCUAAAUACCGGCCAGAGACCGAUAGCGCACAAGUAGAGUGAUCGAAAGAUGAAAAGUACUUUGAAAAGAGGGUUAAAUAGCACGUGAAAUUGUUGAAAGGGAAGCGUUUGCGACCAGACCUUUUCCAGGCGGAUCAUCCGGCGUUCUCGCCGGUGCACUUCGCCUGGUUUAGGCCAGCAUCGGUUUUCCCAGGGGGAUAAAGGCGGCGGGAACGUAGCUCUCUCGGGAGUGUUAUAGCCCGCCGCGUAAUACCCUUGGGGGGACCGAGGACCGCGCUUCGGCAAGGAUGCUGGCGUAAUGGUCGUCAACGACCCGUCUUGAAACACGGACCAAGGAGUCGAACAUUUGUGCGAGUGUUUGGGUGUCAAACCCUCACGCGUAAUGAAAGUGAACGGAGGUGAGAGCCCCUCGCGGGUGCAUCAUCGACCGAUCCUGAUGUCUUCGGAUGGAUUUGAGUAAGAGCAUAACUGUUCGGACCCGAAAGAUGGUGAACUAUGCGUGGAUAGGGUGAAGCCAGAGGAAACUCUGGUGGAGGCUCGCAGCGGUUCUGACGUGCAAAUCGAUCGUCAAAUCUGCGCAUGGGGGCGAAAGA
This 842-nucleotide ribosomal RNA is filed under the name Pyrenopolyporus cinereopigmentosus. RNAcentral's name for it is "partial large subunit ribosomal RNA". It matches the Rfam family "Eukaryotic large subunit ribosomal RNA", at positions 63 to 930 of the family's 3401-position model. Lineage: Eukaryota; Fungi; Ascomycota; Sordariomycetes; Xylariales; Hypoxylaceae. The record is from RNAcentral.